UACGGGGUUCUCACCCUCUGUGACUCCUGUUCCAAGGAACUUAUACCAGGGCCGCCCCCGAAACAUCCUCUCCAAAUUACAACUCGGGCCCUGAAAGGGCCAGAUUUCAAAUUUGAGCUGUUGCCGCUUCCCUCGCCGUUACUGAGGCAAACCCUGUUGGUUUCUUUUCCUCCCCCUAUUGAUAUGGAAAA
RNAcentral lists this ribosomal RNA (191 nucleotides) under uncultured fungus. RNAcentral's name for it is "partial 26S ribosomal RNA". Lineage: Eukaryota; Fungi. The record is from RNAcentral.